ACGGGAGGCAGCAGUGGGGAAUAUUGGACAAUGGGGGCAACCCUGAUCCAGCGACGCCGCGUGAGUGAAGAAGUAAUUCGUUAUGUAAAGCUCUAUCAGCAGGGAAGAUAAUGACGGUACCUGACUAAGAAGCUCCGGCUAAAUACGUGCCAGCAGCCGCGGUAAUACGUAUGGAGCAAGCGUUAUCCGGAUUUACUGGGUGUAAAGGGUGCGUAGGUGGCAUGGUAAGUCAGAUGUGAAAUACCGGGGCUCAACCCCGGAGCUGCAUUUGAAACUGCCAGGCUGGAGUACAGGAGAGGCAAGCGGAAUUCCUAGUGUAGCGGUGAAAUGCGUAGAUAUUAGGAGGAACACCAGUGGCGAAGGCGGCUUGCUGGACUGUUACUGACACUGAGGCACGAAAGCGUGGGGAGCAAACAGGAUUAGAUACCCUGGUA
RNAcentral lists this ribosomal RNA (434 nucleotides) under uncultured Lachnospiraceae bacterium. RNAcentral's name for it is "bacterial SSU rRNA". It matches the Rfam family "Bacterial small subunit ribosomal RNA", at positions 341 to 792 of the family's 1533-position model. Lineage: Bacteria; Bacillati; Bacillota; Clostridia; Lachnospirales; Lachnospiraceae. The record is from RNAcentral.